This 218-nucleotide long non-coding RNA is filed under the name Elaeis guineensis (African oil palm). Its description in RNAcentral is "long non-coding RNA (EGUI_LNC051088)". The record is from RNAcentral. Lineage: Eukaryota; Viridiplantae; Streptophyta; Magnoliopsida; Arecales; Arecaceae.
GUAUAUCCUUUCACCCUCCAGAUUAUUUAUCAAUGGGAUGUAGAAGUGCAUUGUUUACAUCACAUAUGCGCCAACGACCAAAAAAUAUGAUCUGCUUAGACAUAGCUUUAUGAUGUCAUCAAAUAGGCCAAAAGAUAAUGGGUCUUAGGAAGGACAAGAACUAUCAUCCAUUCGAAGACCUUGGCCGAAGUAUGAAAUUUUGAAAAAAUAUAGCCUAG